RNAcentral lists this ribosomal RNA (301 nucleotides) under uncultured bacterium. RNAcentral's name for it is "partial 16S ribosomal RNA". It matches the Rfam family "Bacterial small subunit ribosomal RNA", at positions 509 to 808 of the family's 1533-position model. The record is from RNAcentral.
CAGCCGCCGCGGUAAUACGUAGGGGGCAAGCGUUGUCCGGAAUUAUUGGGCGUAAAGCGCGCGCAGGCGGUUUUUUAAGUCUGGUGUCUAAGUGCGGGGCUCAACCCCGUGACGCACUGGAAACUGGGAGACUUGAGUGCAGAAGAGGAGAGCGGAAUUCCACAUGUAGCGGUGAAAUGCGUAGAGAUGUGGAGGAACACCAGUGGCGAAGGCGGCUCUCUGGACUGUAACUGACGCUGAGGCGCGAAAGCGUGGGGAGCAAACAGGACUAGAUACCCCCGUAGUCCCUGUCUCUUAUACA